This 571-nucleotide long non-coding RNA is filed under the name Mytilus galloprovincialis (Mediterranean mussel). Lineage: Eukaryota; Metazoa; Mollusca; Bivalvia; Mytilida; Mytilidae. The record is from RNAcentral.
GGCCCGGAUCCAGUCUACUUUUUAGGCAUGAUGACGUCCGAUUUCCUGCAAGAUUUAAUAUGUUCUUGCAAGGGGAAAUAUAUAUGUAGCAAGUCAUGUAUUUGCCGAGAGCAGCAGAUGUCUUGCACUGAGCUUUGUCCAUGUCAGGGUAGUGAUACCUGCAAAAUAUAUAUUCUAAAGAGGACCUCGAAGAUCAAAUGAAUGACGAUGAUGAAGAUGAAAACGAUACCAUUGACUAAUAGCGAAAGAGCAUUUGAGCAAAGGAGCAACAUAAAGAUGCUCUCUGAUCUUCGACCUUUGACGUGGUUGGCAAGCUUAAGACAAUUAAAUCAUAAUGUAUUUAUAACUGUCGAACUAACAGGAGACCAAAAUAACAUAGAUUUUUAACUGUGCUGUAAACAUGGUAAAUAUGCGCUUUAAAGCAGUUUUACGAUAUGUUUUAAUAUAGUUUUAUCAAUAUUUUGUCGGUAUAAAAAACAUGCUAGGCGAGACAUUAGAACUUAAAAAACUAGUUAUAUAUGUUAUUAAUAUAAAACCAAUAGAAUUUGUGUGUUUUCGAUGCAAAAUUAAA